ACCAUCUGAGAGUGGCUGGGAGAAAAAUUUUCCAACUGAAGAACUAUACAGAUUUAAUAAGAGUGGCCACUGAUCAACAUCUAUGGAGAAUACUAAGGCAGAAUGAGUGACAGGCAGUCCACAAAACCAAAAGAUGCCUUGAAAAAGCACAUAAAAAGGCUUGUUACAAGUCACCGCUUUUGACAUGAGUUUGAUGCAGAGUGGACAACUGGGUAAUGAAGAGCAGCUCGUCAUAUAGCCCUAGAGAAAUUUCAAGCACAGUUGGCUGCUCAGCUUAAUGACACCAUUAUUAAAAUCAAGAUAAGUAAAACAGGCUACAGCAGACAUGAGUUUCCUGUUCUUAUCUUAAAAACCUGCAAACACUGCAGCUGCCCCAGAGCAAUACACAAAGAACUCAUCAUCUGGUUUCCAGCCUUGGAGCUAGUUUCUGUACAAAUAGUCUUCUCUCACCUUCUGAAUCCUCCAGCAACCCGUGCAAUGACCUACCAGCAUGAAUAUGACAUACAAGAAAUCCUCCCAAAAUCUCAGAUGCUGGAGUCCAGAUAACUCACUCCACCAUGAGAUUGGCUGAAGCACACAGGCUGUGACAGGCUGUGAUACCCAUCCCUGCCGGCUCCCCAUGCUGCAGACUCCACCUUACACCCACUGCUGCCAUCCCUCUGUAUAGGGCACCUAGCAAGUCCUGUACCCAGCCAUGGUCCACUGAGCAAAACUACUCUUACAGAAUUACCCCAUUGACCAGGAGAAGGAAAUACCAUAAUUCUUUCUGGUUCAAAACUUUCUGCAUAGACAGGACAUAGCUGGUUAUAUACUUGUCCUGGACAAACCACGCUAUUAGGACUUGAUAGCUACGUUGUCACUGCUUUCUGUCUGGCCUUGUUACUGACGGGUUCAAUUAGACAAAUUAAGCUAAUCUCACUCCUAGGGUGGGAUUUCUCGUUGGCCUAGGCACAGUGAGAUAUUUACCUAUUCACUAAUAAAUUUUAGAAGAAGCUCUGAGUACUUUUUUUUUUCCCUUUUACCUUUUGCCAAAAGAGAGUCUUCAAUACUUCACACAGCUUUUCUCAGAUCACUUACAUAUGUGAAAGUCAACAACUUAAUCUGUAUAAUGAGUAGCGGUGCCAGCAGACACUUCCACAGGUUUUGGCAGCUUGGUUUAAUUGUGGUUGUUCUUUGCUUGUCUUUUAAAAGCUCUGUGAAGUAAAGUUGAAGGACAAGACAUGGAGAUAUUCACAGUUAACAUUCAAGAGUGCCAUUUUGUUCUAUGACCCAAGUGACUUACCUGAGAGACACUGAGAGGCUGGAAGUUGGCCUGCACAAUUAAUGAAAAAUAUUACAGAUGAGACAGUCUCAGAAGACAAGGUAGACUGAAGACUGGUUGGACAACUCUAUAAGUGAAGUCUCAAGGCUCUUGUCAUUCUAGCUGUCUAAAUUACUUAAACAGGACUCAGAGGGAUUUAAAGGGGAGAAACGACAUGACAAACAAUUAUAUUCUAACACACUAUUUAUAACAAUGCCCUUUCAGAUUAUUGUUCCACUCAGACUGACACAUUACUGUAAUCCCAGGGAUGAAUCUAGGGAUUUAGAGUUAGAUCGUGCACAGCUUGUAGGCAUAAAAAAAAUACGAAUAAAGAACUGACAUUCAGGAAAUAUAGAGCGACUCAAGGAUAAAUUCUGCUGGGAUGAGCUUAAUUUAUCAAUGUCAAUAACAACGGUGAACACAUCGCAAGAAUACAUGCAUAUUAAUUGAAAAUAACUCAGAUUAAAUCACUGCAGUUUGACAUUUUGAGAUAGGCACUUUAUCUUUUCAAGAAAGAGAGCACUAUAAAAUCUUUAAUCUGAAAACACAUCUUAAUUGCAUGUUAUCACCUCCUAAUUGCUUCUAUAUUAUAUUAAACAUUUUGCUAAUUACUAGCCUGAUCAUGGUGUAAAUAGCUUGAGGCUAGAGCUCAUAACCAGCUGAAGACAACUGGGCACAAUGAGGGCCACAAAGAAGUUUAUCACUUCGGUGUAUUAUCGCGGACUUCCAUCAUUAUCAGUGUCUAUCACUCUUUAUCUCUGCUUCCCUUGUGAGAUAAAGAAGAGAGGCAAUAAUGUAGAUCAGAGGUUGGGUUGCAUUUCAGUUAAUCCAUCUAUUUCUAGCUCUAGAUUUCUAAUAUUCCCUGGGGACAAAAGUUGUCUGCCUACUGCUGUCACUAAUCUACUGCUUGAAGACUGAGGCCAGAAUGCUAUUUGCUCUACCACAAGGCUGGGUAAUGGAGGUGCUCCUGGACAGCUGGAAGUGAAUGCUGCCUCUGAAACCAAAGGAUGUGGAUGAAAUGCGUUGCUGUGAGCAAUCUACCCACUUACCUUCAGACCCUGAGUUAUACACAGAUGAUACAUAGGGAGAGUCUGAGGCAGCAGCUUAUGAAUUCAUCAGGAAAGAAAAUUAUUUACGUAUAGGCAAUAAAAAUGCUUGUAAAAAACUGUCAGAUGACCAAGCAAUGCAGGAAGUCAUUCGGGUAGCAACUAAUAAUAUAGGUACAGUAAUCAUUUAGACAAUUACAGUUACCAGAAAUGAGCAAACCAAACCA
Molecule: long non-coding RNA, 2573 nt
Organism: Pezoporus occidentalis (night parrot)
Lineage: Eukaryota; Metazoa; Chordata; Aves; Psittaciformes; Psittacidae
Exons: 4
Source: RefSeq, a predicted model, not a curated record